AAUGCGAGACGGAGCGUUUUAGCGGAGACACUCACUGGGGCAAUCUGAGCUUGAGCAGGAGGUGGAGCGACGGCGGCGGCUGGGGCAGGAGUCAGCAGCUAGGAAAGCCCUCAUCGCGAGUUCCUACCACCCGGCACGGCCUGAGGUCUACGACUCACUGCAGGAUGCAGCUCUGGCCCCCGAGUUUCUGGCCGUGGCUGAGUACAGCGUGUCCCCGGGCGCAGACCUCAAGGGCCUUCUCCAGCGGCUGGAGACAGUAUCGGAGGAGAAGCGCAUCUACCGGGUGCCUGUGUUCACAGCACCCUUCUGCCAGGCCUUGCUGGAAGAGCUGGAGCACUUCGAGCAGUCGGACAUGCCUAAGGGGAGGCCCAACACCAUGAACAACUAUGGGGUGCUGCUGCACGAGCUUGGGCUGGACGAGCCGCUGAUGACACCACUGCGGGAGCGCUUCCUGCAGCCACUGAUGGCCCUGCUGUACCCUGACUGUGGCGGGGGCCGGCUCGACAGCCACCGGGCCUUUGUGGUCAAAUACGCACCGGGCCAGGACCUCGAGCUGGGCUGCCACUAUGAUAAUGCCGAGCUCACACUCAAUGUGGCCUUGGGCAAGGUCUUCACGGGGGGCGCCCU
RNAcentral lists this small RNA (627 nucleotides) under Pongo abelii (Sumatran orangutan). RNAcentral's name for it is "processed transcript". The record is from RNAcentral. Lineage: Eukaryota; Metazoa; Chordata; Mammalia; Primates; Hominidae.